RNAcentral lists this unclassified non-coding RNA (21 nucleotides) under Mus musculus (house mouse). RNAcentral describes it as "oocyte_clustered_small_RNA12504". The record is from RNAcentral. Lineage: Eukaryota; Metazoa; Chordata; Mammalia; Rodentia; Muridae.
UGAGCGCAAGUACUCAGUCUG